UGCGGGGUGGAGCAGUCUGGUAGCUCGUCGGGCUCAUAACCCGAAGGUCGUGGGUUCAAAUCCUGCCCCCGCUACCA
Molecule: transfer RNA, 77 nt
Filed under: bacterium
Lineage: Bacteria
Also listed under: 25 other names
Description: tRNA-Met
Rfam family: tRNA
About the family: Transfer RNA (tRNA) molecules are approximately 80 nucleotides in length.
Source: RNAcentral